AUGGAGAACAUGCUGGAAUGUGCACUCAUAGUCUUGUGGCUGCAGCUUGGAUGGUUGAGUGGUGAAGACCGAGUGGAGCAGAGUCCUCAGACCCUGAGAAUCCAGGAAGGGGACAGUCUCAGUCUCAACUACAGCUACACUGUCAGCCGUUUUAGCGGGCUACAGUGGUAUAGACAAGAUCCUGGAAAGGGCCCCGAACUCCUCUUCCUUCUUUACUCAGUUGGGGAUGAAAAGCAGGAAGAAAGACUGAGAGCCACCUUGUUAAAGAAGGGAAGUUCUCUGCACAUUGAAGCACCCAAACCUGAAGACUCAGCCACGUACCUCUGCACUGUGGAGACACAGUGCUCCCCAGGCACCUGCAGACUGUACCCAAACCCUGAAGCGGCGCCUCUAGAAUAA
Non-coding RNA from Capra hircus (goat), 399 nucleotides. Lineage: Eukaryota; Metazoa; Chordata; Mammalia; Artiodactyla; Bovidae. The record is from the annotation of a RefSeq genome assembly.